CAGAUUACCUGGCAGGGGUGAUACCAUGAUCACAAAGGUGGUUUUCUCAGGAUGAGGCUUAUCCAUUGCACUCCAAAUGUGCUGACCCCUGCAGUUUCCCCAAAUGUGAUAAAGGGGACUUGAUUUGUACUC
Molecule: small nuclear RNA, 132 nt
Filed under: Peromyscus maniculatus bairdii (prairie deer mouse)
Lineage: Eukaryota; Metazoa; Chordata; Mammalia; Rodentia; Cricetidae
Description: U1 spliceosomal RNA (ENSPEMG00000007578.2)
Rfam family: U1 spliceosomal RNA
About the family: U1 is a small nuclear RNA (snRNA) component of the spliceosome (involved in pre-mRNA splicing).
Source: RNAcentral